AGAACGAACGCUGGCGGCAUGCCUAAUACAUGCAAGUCGAACGAACACUUCGGUGUUAGUGGCGCACGGGUGCGUAACGCGUGGGAAUCUGCCCUUGGGUUCGGAAUAACAGUUGGAAACGACUGCUAAUACCGGAUGAUGACGAAAGUCCAAAGAUUUAUCGCCCAGGGAUGAGCCCGCGUAGGAUUAGCUAGUUGGUGAGGUAAAGGCUCACCAAGGCGACGAUCCUUAGCUGGUCUGAGAGGAUGAUCAGCCACACUGGGACUGAGACACGGCCCAGACU
Molecule: ribosomal RNA, 283 nt
Filed under: uncultured soil bacterium
Lineage: Bacteria
Description: partial 16S ribosomal RNA
Rfam family: Bacterial small subunit ribosomal RNA
Source: RNAcentral